RNAcentral lists this transfer RNA (69 nucleotides) under Cavia porcellus (domestic guinea pig). It matches the Rfam family "tRNA". From Rfam's summary of the family: Transfer RNA (tRNA) molecules are approximately 80 nucleotides in length. Lineage: Eukaryota; Metazoa; Chordata; Mammalia; Rodentia; Caviidae. The record is from Rfam by way of RNAcentral.
GGAGAUGUGGCUUAGUGGCACAGUGCCUGCCUGGCAAGCACAAAGUCCUGAGUUCAAUUCCCAGUACCA